This 402-nucleotide ribosomal RNA is filed under the name uncultured prokaryote. RNAcentral describes it as "bacterial SSU rRNA". It matches the Rfam family "Bacterial small subunit ribosomal RNA", at positions 355 to 774 of the family's 1533-position model. The record is from RNAcentral.
UGGGGAAUAUUGCACAAUGGGGGAAACCCUGAUGCAGCAACGCCGCGUGAGUGAUGACGGCCUUCGGGUUGUAAAGCUCUGUCUUCAGGGACGAUAAUGACGGUACCUGAGGAGGAAGCCACGGCUAACUACGUGCCAGCAGCCGCGGUAAUACGUAGGUGGCGAGCGUUGUCCGGAUUUACUGGGCGUAAAGGGAGCGUAGGCGGACUUUUAAGUGAGAUGUGAAAUACCCGGGCUCAACUUGGGUGCUGCAUUUCAAACUGGAAGUCUAGAGUGCAGGAGAGGAGAAUGGAAUUCCUAGUGUAGCGGUGAAAUGCGUAGAUAUUAGGAGGAACACCAGUGGCGAAGGCGGCUUUCUGGACUGUAACUGACGCUGAGGCACGAAAGCGUGGGGAGCAAACA